UACGGGGGAUGCAAGCGUUAUCCGGAUUUAUUGGGUUUAAAGGGUGCGUAGGCUGUGAGGUAAGUCAGCGGUGAAAUGCCCCCGCUCAACGGGGUGAAGUGCCAUUGAUACUGCCUUGCUGGAAUGCGGAUGCCGUGGGAGGAAUGUGUGGUGUAGCGGUGAAAUGCAUAGAUAUCACACAGAACACCGAUUGCGAAGGCAUCUCACGAAUCCGUGAUUGACGCUGAUGCACGAAAGCGUUGGUAUCAAACAGG
This 254-nucleotide ribosomal RNA is filed under the name uncultured bacterium. Its description in RNAcentral is "partial 16S ribosomal RNA". It matches the Rfam family "Bacterial small subunit ribosomal RNA", at positions 524 to 776 of the family's 1533-position model. The record is from RNAcentral.